Non-coding RNA from Paxillus rubicundulus Ve08.2h10, 223 nucleotides. The record is from the annotation of a GenBank genome assembly. Lineage: Eukaryota; Fungi; Basidiomycota; Agaricomycetes; Boletales; Paxillaceae.
GGACCAGUAGCUUAGUUGGAAGAGCUAUUAAAAUUCUGAGGAAAUCCAGAGGGGAGAACAAUGAGGAUGAGAGCAAAAAAAAUUGGGAUUGAAGUGCUACUGACACAUGUACUAUGUUCAGUACGAUUAGGUAAGCUACAUAGGUACUAUGACAAACAAGAUUUCCAACAAGAGCACCACUGUACUAUCCUAGAGGCCACAGGUUCAAUCCCUGUCUAGUCCA